This 406-nucleotide ribosomal RNA is filed under the name uncultured bacterium. RNAcentral describes it as "partial 16S ribosomal RNA". It matches the Rfam family "Bacterial small subunit ribosomal RNA", at positions 30 to 526 of the family's 1533-position model. The record is from RNAcentral.
AUUGAACGCUGGCGGCAGGCCUAACACAUGCAAGUCGAACGAGUGGCGGACGGGUGAGUAAUGUCUGGGCAACUGCCCGAUGGAGGGGGAUAACUACUGGAAACGGUAGCCAAUACCGCAUACCAUCGGAUGUGCCCUGAUGGGAUUAGCUAGGUGGUGGGGUAACGGCUGUCCUAGGAGACGAUCCCUAGCUGGUCUGAGAGGAUGACCAGCCACACUGGAACUGAGACACGGUCCAGACUCCUACGGGAGGCAGCAGUGGGGAAUAUUGCACAAUGGGCGCAAGCCUGAUACAGCCAUGCCGCGUGUAUGAAGAAGGCCUUCGGGUUGUAAAGUACUUUCAGCGAGGAGGCGUUACUCGCAGAAGAAGCAUCGGCUAACUCCGUGCCAGCAGCCGCGGUAAUUC